Molecule: ribosomal RNA, 271 nt
Filed under: uncultured prokaryote
Description: partial 16S ribosomal RNA
Rfam family: Bacterial small subunit ribosomal RNA
Source: RNAcentral
UACGUAGGUGGCGAGCGUUGUCCGGAUUUACUGGGCGUAAAGGGAGCGUAGGCGGACUUUUAAGUGAGAUGUGAAAUACCCGGGCUUAACUUGGGUGCUGCAUUUCAAACUGGAAGUCUAGAGUGCAGGAGAGGAGAAUGGAAUUCCUAGUGUAGCGGUGAAAUGCGUAGAGAUUAGGAAGAACACCAGUGGCGAAGGCGAUUCUCUGGACUGUAACUGACGCUGAGGCUCGAAAGCGUGGGGAGCAAACAGGAUUAGAUACCCCGUACGU